RNAcentral lists this ribosomal RNA (207 nucleotides) under uncultured bacterium. RNAcentral describes it as "partial 16S ribosomal RNA". It matches the Rfam family "Bacterial small subunit ribosomal RNA", at positions 568 to 774 of the family's 1533-position model. The record is from RNAcentral.
CACGCAGGCGGUUUGUUAAGUCAGAUGUGAGAUCCCCGGGCUCAACCUGGGAACUGCAUCUGAUACUGGCAAGCUUGAGUCUCGUAGAGGGGGGUAGAAUUCCAGGUGUAGCGGUGAAAUGCGUAGAGAUCUGGAGGAAUACCGGUGGCGAAGGCGGCCCCCUGGACGAAGACUGACGCUCAGGUGCGAAAGCGUGGGGAGCAAACA